UACGUAGGGGGCAAGCGUUGUCCGGAAUCAUUGGGCGUAAAGCGCGUGUAGGCGGUCCGGUAAGUCCGCUGUGAAAAGUCGGGGGGCUCAACCCUCGGAUGCCGGUGGAUACUGUCGGGCUUGAGUACGGAAGAGGCGAGUGGAAUUCCUGGUGUAGCGGUGAAAUGCGUAGAUAUCUGGAGGAACACCGGUGGCGAAGGCGGCAUCCUGGACCGGUAUUGACGCUGAUGCGCGAAAGCCAGGGGAGCAAACGGG
Molecule: ribosomal RNA, 255 nt
Filed under: uncultured bacterium
Lineage: Bacteria
Description: partial 16S ribosomal RNA
Rfam family: Bacterial small subunit ribosomal RNA
Source: RNAcentral